CCUACGGGAGGCAGCAGUAGGGAAUAUUGCACAAUGGGGGGAACCCUGAUCCAGCGACGCCGCGUGAGUGAUGAAGGAUUUCGGAAUGUAAACCUCUAUCAGCAGGGAAGAAAAUGACGGUACCUGACUAAGAAGCCCCGGCUAACUACGUGCCAGCAGCCGCGGUAAUACGGAGGGGGCAAGCGUUAUCCGGAUUUACUGGGCGUAAAGGGAGCGUAGACGGGGUAGCAAGUCUGAUGUGAAAGGUCGGGGCCCAACCCCGGGACUGCAUUUGAAACUGUUGAACUAGAGUAUAGGAGAGGUAAGCGGAAUUCUUAGUGUAGCGGUGAAAUGCGUAGAUAUUAAGAGGAACACUAGUGGCGAAGGCGGCUUACUGGACUGUAACUGACGUUGAGGCUCGAAAGCGUGGGGAGCAAACAGGAUUAGAUACCCUAGUAGUC
This 440-nucleotide ribosomal RNA is filed under the name uncultured bacterium. Its description in RNAcentral is "partial 16S ribosomal RNA". It matches the Rfam family "Bacterial small subunit ribosomal RNA", at positions 338 to 795 of the family's 1533-position model. The record is from RNAcentral.